Schizosaccharomyces pombe (fission yeast) is the source of this 1066-nucleotide non-coding RNA. The record is from the annotation of a GenBank genome assembly. NCBI's taxonomy places the organism in Eukaryota, Fungi, Ascomycota, Schizosaccharomycetes, Schizosaccharomycetales, Schizosaccharomycetaceae.
GAGGGCUCGAUGGUCCAUAAAGAUGACCAAUAUGGUCGACACCCAAGUAGUGUAGUAUUAAAGCGUCCCAAGAAUGCGAUAAAGAUGAUGGAAGGGCAUGAUCGAAAUUUCUGGUAACAUUGUUAUCGACUUCAGUAUAAUCUGAUACAAAAAAGCUUGUUGUACCUUCAAACUUUGAGAAGGCGCUUGGAAAAAGUUUAAGCCAUGUAUCAUCUCCAUAAAACUCAAUCUUCUUAUUGAAGGAAUUGAGUUGAUACACCCAACUGUCCUGAGCCUCAAUGCUUGAACCAGUAUCCGAUUCUGCGAUAUUCAAAAGCACAUCCAAAAAUCCGGGUAUAGUACCGGUGGUUAAAGCUUUCAGUCUGGGCAUUGUAACGGUAGGGGAACGAGCAAAAGCAGAAAAUCCAAUACCAUGGGUAGAAUUAUAAAGAAGGGAUUGAGUAAAAGGCAUGUUAUGUGACUUUGAAAAAACGAAAUCUGCUCUCAAAGCAUCGACCAUCACGAACACAACUUGAUCAAUUACAGCAGGCGGAGAAAAUUGAUUAGACAUUGCCUUGCCGGUAGAGUCAUUUUUGUGAGGAAAGAAUCCUAAAAGAAAAAGGAUCGAUCCAAAAAUUUGAAGCCAGAAGAUACCAAAAAAUGCAAACCUCAUCUUAUUCUUUUUGGUAGCUACCUUCGCACUAAUUGGGAUCUUUGAAGCUUUGAUUUCAAUGUAUUUGAUCACGUGGGGGAUUAAUGACAACGACUGGCCAACAGAAACGAAAUAGUUAGUAUUCUAAGCGAUGAUGUUAAAGCUUUAAUGUCUAGCUUGCCGUGAUUUUUCCUGAAAUAUUUCUAAAGCCUUCUAAACAAUAUAUAAAUUAAAGGUUCAAUUUUACCAGUUAAAAAUGAAUCAAUUAACGACAAAGAUUAGUUGGAAGAAUGUUGUGUUCAUGCCAGACGUAUAUGUAAAUAAACAAAUGUCGUUUCCGUGGCAGUCUGUCCCCGUUAAUUUAUAAUAUUAUUUCCAUAAGCGGUAUUAUUAUGAGAAUUAAACAAAUAUUAGAGCCAAUAAGUGGUAUCAAAG